RNAcentral lists this ribosomal RNA (494 nucleotides) under uncultured bacterium. RNAcentral's name for it is "partial 16S ribosomal RNA". It matches the Rfam family "Bacterial small subunit ribosomal RNA", at positions 28 to 507 of the family's 1533-position model. The record is from RNAcentral.
GACGAACGCUGGCGGCGCGCUUAACACAUGCAAGUCGAACGGAAAGGCCUGCUUUCCCUUGUGGAUUGCGGGUACUCGAGUGGCGAACGGGUGAGUAACACGUGAGUGAUCUGCCCCCAACUUGGGUAUAAGCCUGGGAAACUGGGUCUAAUUCCCGAUAGGACUGCAGGGUGGUGCCUGUGGUGGAAAACGAUUUUCUAGUGGUUGGGGAUGAGCUCGCGGCCUAUCAGCUUGUUGGUGGGGUAAUGGCCUACCAAGGCGGCGACGGGUAGCCGGCCUGAGAGGGUGGACGGCCACAUUGGGACUGAGAUACGGCCCAGACUCCUACGGGAGGCAGCUGUGGGGAAUAUUGCACAAUGGGCGGAAGCCUGAUGCAGCGACGCCGCGUGGGGGAUGACGGCCUUCGGGUUGUAAACUCCUUUCGACCGCGAGGAAGCCACCUGGUUGGAAGGGUGGUGACGGUAGUGGUAGAAGAAGCACCGGCUAACUACGUG